GAUGAACGCUGGCGGCGUGCCUAAUACAUGCAAGUCGAGCGAACAGACGAGGAGCUUGCUCCUCUGACGUUAGCGGCGGACGGGUGAGUAACACGUGGAUAACCUACCUAUAAGACUGGGAUAACUUCGGGAAACCGGAGCUAAUACCGGAUAAUAUAUUGAACCGCAUGGUUCAAUAGUGAAAGACGGUUUUGCUGUCACUUAUAGAUGGAUCCGCGCCGCAUUAGCUAGUUGGUAAGGUAACGGCUUACCAAGGCUACGAUGCGUAGCCGACCUGAGAGGGUGAUCGGCCACACUGGAACUGAGACACGGUCCAGACUCCUACGGGAGGCAGCAGUAGGGAAUCUUCCGCAAUGGGCGAAAGCUUGACGGAGCAACGCCGCGUGAGUGAUGAAGGUCUUCGGAUCGUAAAACUCUGUUAUUAGGGAAGAACAAAUGUGUAAGUAACUAUGCACGUCUUGACGGUACCUAAUCAGAAAGCUACGGCUAACUACGUG
RNAcentral lists this ribosomal RNA (497 nucleotides) under uncultured bacterium. Its description in RNAcentral is "partial 16S ribosomal RNA". It matches the Rfam family "Bacterial small subunit ribosomal RNA", at positions 28 to 507 of the family's 1533-position model. The record is from RNAcentral.